AGUGUGAAGUUCAGUCAUCAGAGAACAGAUGGAUGUGAGGAGACAGCUGGAGCGACGCUACCACACACACUCUCACACAAACACAGGUCCUUAGGGAUCAUAUGUACUGUGCCAGAUGACGCUCAGCUGUUAUUUGCCACUGGAGACUCACAAUUUAUGUGCUUUAAAAGGAGCACUGCAACCAUUUUAACAAAUUUACUAUCAUUAUCAAAUUGCUACAGCUAUUCUUUGUUUUGGACAUAAACUAUAGUGCUAAUAAAAAUGUCACACAAUAUGCCGUGCCUGCAGUAACUCAUCGUUUUCCCCUGAUGAGAAGAGAAACUGGUUUCAUUUGGCAUGUGCAGUAAAACCCGGCAUGGAUCGGAUAUUGUAUUUGUUAGAAUAAAAAGUGUACCUGAUGUGAAAUACUGGAUGAUUGG
RNAcentral lists this long non-coding RNA (419 nucleotides) under Myripristis murdjan (pinecone soldierfish). RNAcentral's name for it is "lncRNA (ENSMMDG00005012042.1)". Lineage: Eukaryota; Metazoa; Chordata; Actinopteri; Holocentriformes; Holocentridae. The record is from RNAcentral.